UGCAAGUCACGGGGGUCCCGCAAGGGAUAACCGGCGAACGGGUGCGUAACACGUGAACAACCUGCCCUCGUGUGGGGGAUAGCCGGGCCAACGCCCGGGUAAUACCGCAUACGUUCUCUUUGGGGAGUCCCGAGGAGAGGAAAGCUCCGGCGCACGGGGAGGGGUUCGCGGCCUAUCAGCUAGUUGGCGGGGUAAUGGCCCACCAAGGCGACGACGGGUAGCUGGUCUGAGAGGAUGGCCAGCCACAUUGGGACUGAGAGACGGCCCAGACUCCUACGGGAGGCAGCAGUGGGGAAUCUUGCGCAAUGGUCUAACGACUGACGCAGCGACGCCGCGUGUGGGAGGACGCCUUUCGGGGUGUAAACCACUGUUGCCCGGGACGAACAGCCCUUUUCGAGGGGUCUGACGGUACCGGGUGAGGAAGCACCGGCUAACUCCGUGCCAGCAGCCGCGGUAAUACGGAGGGUGCGAGCGUUGUCCGGAAUCAUUGGGCGUAAAGGGCGCGUAGGUGGCGCAGCAAGCGUGCGGUGAAAGCUCGGGGCUCAACCCCGAGUCGGCCGUGCGAACUGCUGGGCUCGAGCACUGUAGAGGCAGGCGGAAUUCCGGGUGUAGCGGUGGAAUGCGUAGAGAUCCGGAAGAACACCGGUGGCGAAGGCGGCCUGCUGGGCAGUAGCUGACACUGAGGCGCGACAGCGUGGGGAGCAAACAGGAUUAGAUACCCUGGUAGUCCACGCCGUAAACGAUGGGCACUAGGCGCUUGGGGGAGCGACCCCCCGAGGGCCGGCGCUAACGCAUUAAGUGCCCCGCCUGGGGAGUACGGCCGCAAGGCUGAACUCAAAGGAGUUGACGGGGGCCCGCACAAGCGGUGGAGCAUGUGGUUUAAUUCGACGCAACGCGAAGAACUUACCUAGGCUUGACAUACACGGGAAAG
This 931-nucleotide ribosomal RNA is filed under the name uncultured Gemmatimonas sp. RNAcentral describes it as "bacterial SSU rRNA". It matches the Rfam family "Bacterial small subunit ribosomal RNA", at positions 56 to 997 of the family's 1533-position model. The record is from RNAcentral. Lineage: Bacteria; Pseudomonadati; Gemmatimonadota; Gemmatimonadia; Gemmatimonadales; Gemmatimonadaceae.